Long non-coding RNA from Daphnia pulex (common water flea), 392 nucleotides. RefSeq lists it as uncharacterized. The record is from RefSeq and is a predicted model, not a curated record. Lineage: Eukaryota; Metazoa; Arthropoda; Branchiopoda; Diplostraca; Daphniidae. The transcript has 2 exons.
CUUUGUUGAUUCUAUUGAAUACGUGUACGGCUUCUGGAACUUUCUAUAGUCACGGACUCGUUUCUGGACCACUUCCUGUCUUUUCUGGUGAUAACAUCGAUAUAAAUAUAACUCCUGGUGGCAUUGCCGUAGAAAAUGCGAAUAUAAUAAAGGCUGACAUAACAACGUUGGAUGCUGUAAUUCACAUUAUUGAUGCCGUUAUUUCACCCAGAGUAGGAGAUUCUACCAUUUCAAGUGACAUUGAAAAUCAUUUCUUUAUCAAACAGCAUACAUUUUAUUAGUUGCCUUUAACAUGCUAAACUUAAUGGGUGACUGAAAAAAUUGGGUGAUUAUUAUUUUUGUUUAAUUUAUUGUUAUAUUGUGAAAAAACUGGUAAAUAUGAAGGUAUGAUU